RNAcentral lists this ribosomal RNA (305 nucleotides) under uncultured bacterium. Its description in RNAcentral is "bacterial SSU rRNA". It matches the Rfam family "Bacterial small subunit ribosomal RNA", at positions 338 to 640 of the family's 1533-position model. The record is from RNAcentral.
CCUACGGGAGGCAGCAGUGAGGAAUAUUGGUCAAUGGGCGGGAGCCUGAACCAGCCAAGUCGCGUGAGGGAAGACGGUCCUAUGGAUUGUAAACCUCUUUUGUCGGGGAGCAAAGAGGCCACGUGUGGUCAAAAGCGAGAGUACCCGAAGAAAAAGCAUCGGCUAACUCCGUGCCAGCAGCCGCGGUAAUACGGAGGAUGCGAGCGUUAUCCGGAUUUAUUGGGUUUAAAGGGUGCGCAGGCGGCGAGUUAAGUCAGCGGUAAAAUUUCGGGGCUCAACCCCGACGAGCCGUUGAAACUGGCUUG